GUAGGUGGCAAGCGUUGUCUGGAAUUAUUGGGCGUAAAGCGCGCGCAGGCGGUUCUUUAAGUCUGAUGUGAAAGCCCACGGCUCAACCGUGGAGGGUCAUUGGAAACUGGAGAACUUGAGUACAGAAGAGGAAAGCGGAAUUCCACGUGUAGCGGUGAAAUGCGUAGAGAUGUGGAGGAACACCAGUGGCGAAGGCGGCUUUCUGGUCUGUAACUGACGCUGAGGCGCGAAAGCGUGGGGGAGCAAACAGGAUUAGAUACCCUGGUAGUCCACGCCGUAAACGAUGAGUGCUAAGUGUUAGGGGGUUUUCCCGCCCCCUUAGUGCUGCAGCUAACGCAUUAAGCACUCCGCCCUGGGAGUACGGCCGCAAGGCUG
This 375-nucleotide ribosomal RNA is filed under the name uncultured organism. Its description in RNAcentral is "partial 16S ribosomal RNA". It matches the Rfam family "Bacterial small subunit ribosomal RNA", at positions 527 to 896 of the family's 1533-position model. The record is from RNAcentral.